Molecule: ribosomal RNA, 253 nt
Filed under: uncultured bacterium
Lineage: Bacteria
Description: partial 16S ribosomal RNA
Rfam family: Bacterial small subunit ribosomal RNA
Source: RNAcentral
UACAGAGGGUGCAAGCAUUAAUCGGAUUUAUUGGGCGUAAAGAGCGCGUAGGCGGGUUUUUAAGUCAGAUGUGAAAUCCCGGGGCUCAACCCCGGAACAGCAUUUGAAACUAAGAAUCUUGAGGGUAGUCGGAGAAAAUGGAAUUCCACGUGUAGCGGUGAAAUGCGUAGAUAUGUGGAAGAACACCGGUGGCGAAGGCGAUUUUCUAGAUUAUUCCUGACGCUGAGGCGCGAAAGCAAGGGGAUCAAACAGG